CUGGUACUAUUUUUUUUCCCCCAUAAAACAUGCUUUAUUCAGUAAAACCUUGUGCGUGUGGCAGGGCACGGGUAGAAGCUUGCAGAGUUGGAGGUGAGGGGCAGGCGUCUACGGCACAGUUGGGACCUGACAACAGGAUGGAGGAGCCAGAGGUCAGAAGACUGGGAGGUUGGCAGUUCUUUGGUAACACAUCAUUUGCUCUUCCAGAGGUGAGAAGAGAAGCUCAGGAGCCCCUGGGGGUUCCAAAGGCCUGACUGGGAAGGGGCAGCUAUCCCUGCAAGUCCAGGGAAGCGCAGCCCCCAGCAGCUGCAGGAACUCCUGGGGCCAGGCCAUCUUGCUGUCAGAACAACAAGCCUUCAUACCAGUUCCACAGCUCCAGGUUGGUUUCCAAGAUGGCGAUGUCUAGGAACGUCCUCUGGAGAAAGAUGCAGAAACUCAAAGCACCACCUCUUUGACUACAUCAUCCAAAGAUACCUAUGGGCCAUUUCUUUCAGAUCCUUUCAUUGGGGAGUGGAAUUCAGAUACCAAAAUCUGAGUGCUGUAUAUCCUUUUUGCUACUACGGUGCCCUUGCUUUCAUUGGACAGACUUGGGAAGUAUAUAAAUUUUGAUUUUGUAUUGAUGUUUCCAACUCAGAUUUAACAUCAUAAGGUUUUUACUUUGAGUUCAUCCUUUUUUUCCUCUAACAUUGAUAGUGUGUAUUUUUAGCAACAUUAAUAUAAUUUCUUUAUCCUACAAUCUAAAUGUAGUAGUUUGAAAAUAACACUACUUAUAAAGCCACUGGAGGCUUAUAUUUGGUUACAGCUCUUUUUAUACUUAAAAUAUCCACAUAAGUAUGUACAGUUGACAUUCUGACUUAUAAAACCAUUUGAAAAUAUUUUCUCUCUGAUUAAGUUACCACUUUGAUAAUUGGUUUAUUUGCAUGAAAUCCUUAACUUUUAAAGAUUGCUUUAAUGUGUUAUUUAAUGUAUGUUUUUUUCUGAUUACUACCCUAACAAGGAUUUGUAAUGUAUUUUUUCAACAUAUAAAAUAUUUAUGUGAACAUUUAUGUAGCUCACGAAUCAGAACUGUAUAAAAUGUUGCAUUCACAGUGUCACUUCCUUCAGUCCCUCCAGUAGUUCCUGUUCUGCCCCAGCUAUAUUAGUUUCUGAUUUAUUCUUUUGCUAUUUCAUUUUUGGAAAUAUAAGCACAUGUAUAGACUUUUAUUCCCCUUUGUUACACAAAGAUUGUAUUCUAUGCACAUUGUCUUGCUUGUUCUUAAUGAAUUCUGGACAUCACUUCAUGGAAGCUCUGCAUUCUUCUUUUGUGCUUGCCAGUUGUUAUCCUAAAGAUGAACAUUUCGGUUGUUUAUGUUCUGUUGCUGUUAUAAAUAUCGCUGCAGUGAGUAGUCUUGUGGUAAUAUUGGUUUAUAUUUGUGCAGGUAUAGCAUUAAGAUAGUGAGAUUAUUGGGUAAAAGGCAAGCACAUUUGUAGCUUAUUGCUUUUCUAGUGUUUAGCUCAGUGUCUGUACUGUGAGUGCUCCAACUCCACUGUGCAGUAGCUAGAAUUAAAUAAUGAGGAAAUUGGGGCUGUGCAGUUAAAGGUCUGGUCUGCUGCACAGGUGUUUAUCAUCGAGUAAUCAUUAAGUAAACGUUUUUUGAAUUUUAAUUGUAAUUUUUUUUCAGGAUCUCAUAGUUAAGAGUUCAGUCAGAAAAAUAGAACCACUAGGGUGGGUAAAGAAAAAAAUAUAUGAAUGUAUGUAUUACUUAUUGAAGGGAUUUGUUACAGGCAUUUGAGUUCAUGCAGUGUGCGAGCUGGCUAAGCAGUCUCUAUAGUGCUAUGUCUUCAUGCCUGGUGCUGCUAUUUGAAGUCCAGAGGACAGACAUUUGGACAAGAAAGACAGAUGUAAAGUGGGGAAGAACAAGAACAAGCUGGAAGCUGUGCCAGUUCAUGUUGUGCUGGGGUCCAGCCCCAGCACAAAGAUUGUAGGGUCCUCUCUGAUAAGCCCCAAAAGGGAGGAAAGGCAGCGUCGGCGAUGGACAGCAAACACACAGACUCAAGAGAUCUGCUGAAUGCUGACAGUUUGUUGAAGCAUGUACACACUUUUUAUACCUUUUCUUGGAGGCAACAUAAUCAUUGAAAUAAUCAUUGAACAAUAUCAUAAUAUUUUUUAUGAGUGACAAAUGUUCCAAGAAAAAUGACAUUACAGUUUGUUCCCAAAAGAAAUAAUUACAAUGUUCUUUUCUUUGAGUAAAAUAAAACGUUUACAAAAAACCCA
Molecule: long non-coding RNA, 2254 nt
Organism: Galeopterus variegatus (Sunda flying lemur)
Lineage: Eukaryota; Metazoa; Chordata; Mammalia; Dermoptera; Cynocephalidae
Exons: 2
Source: RefSeq, a predicted model, not a curated record